This 400-nucleotide ribosomal RNA is filed under the name uncultured bacterium. RNAcentral's name for it is "bacterial SSU rRNA". It matches the Rfam family "Bacterial small subunit ribosomal RNA", at positions 359 to 776 of the family's 1533-position model. The record is from RNAcentral.
GAAUAUUGGACAAUGGGGGCAACCCUGAUCCAGCCAUGCCGCGUGAGUGAAGAAGGCCUUCGGGUUGUAAAGCUCUUUCGGCGGGGACGAUGAUGACGGUACCCGCAUAAGAAGCCCCGGCAAACUUCGUGCCAGCAGCCGCGGUAAUACGAAGGGGGCUAGCGUUGUUCGGAAUUACUGGGCGUAAAGCGCGCGUAGGCGGUGAUCUUUGUCAGGGGUGAAAUCCCGGGGCUCAACCCCGGAAUUGCCUUUGAAACGGGAUCGCUAGAGUCCGAGAGAGGAUGGCGGAAUUCCUAGUGUAGAGGUGAAAUUCGUAGAUAUUAGGAAGAACACCGGUGGCGAAGGCGGCCAUCUGGCUCGGUACUGACGCUCAGGCGCGAAAGCGUGGGGAGCAAACAGG